AUCCAGCUGGCGAGUCCCAAACAGGACGAAACGCGCGUCCUGGAU
This is a non-coding RNA of Schistosoma mattheei, 45 nucleotides long. The record is from Rfam. Lineage: Eukaryota; Metazoa; Platyhelminthes; Trematoda; Strigeidida; Schistosomatidae.